AUUGAACGCUGGCGGCAUGCUUUACACAUGCAAGUCGAACGGUAACAGGCCGCAAGGUGCUGACGAGUGGCGAACGGGUGAGUAAUGCAUCGGAACGUGCCCAGUCGUGGGGGAUAACUACUCGAAAGAGUAGCUAAUACCGCAUACGAUCUAUGGAUGAAAGCGGGGGACCGUAAGGCCUCGCGCGAUUGGAGCGGCCGAUGUCAGAUUAGGUAGUUGGUGGGGUAAAGGCUCACCAAGCCAACGAUCUGUAGCUGGUCUGAGAGGACGACCAGCCACACUGGGACUGAGACACGGCCCAGACUCCUACGGGAGGCAGCAGUGGGGAAUUUUGGACAAUGGGCGCAAGCCUGAUCCAGCGAUGCCGCGUGCAGGAAGAAGGCCUUCGGGUUGUAAACUGCUUUUGUACGGAACGAAACGGCUCUGGUUAAUACCCGGGGCUAAUGACGGUACCGUAAGAAUAAGCACCGGCUAACUACGUG
Molecule: ribosomal RNA, 482 nt
Filed under: uncultured bacterium
Lineage: Bacteria
Description: partial 16S ribosomal RNA
Rfam family: Bacterial small subunit ribosomal RNA
Source: RNAcentral